Long non-coding RNA from Danaus plexippus (monarch butterfly), 758 nucleotides. RefSeq lists it as uncharacterized. The transcript is spliced from 2 exons. The record is from RefSeq and is a predicted model, not a curated record. NCBI's taxonomy places the organism in Eukaryota, Metazoa, Arthropoda, Insecta, Lepidoptera, Nymphalidae.
UAAAUAGUGUGAGAAGUGAUUGCUGAAUAUCAUUCAUUAGGUGUGAUAUCAAGUGCCGAGUAUAUUGUAUUAUAAUAACUAAACAUGAAGUUCUCAUUAGUGUGUGUGUUGUUGAUGUCCGUGUUUAUGUUGUUUAUUACACAGAGCUCUGCCAACCCUAAAGUUAACUUCGGAGCUAUUAAGAAAGGCCUCGGUAUUCUGAGCGCGGCGGGAACGGCUGAGAACAUAUACGAGGAGUGGAAACACAGACACGGAUAAAGAAAUAAUAUAUGAAAAUGACCUUUUAUAAUUAUAUUUUAAACACAUUAAAUGCUGGCUUUCCUGGUGACAUUAAUAAUGCAAUCAAAAUUAACACAAUACGAAUUUACUGUUUAUUAAUCAAACCCACCCGUCACAGAAACGCAAUUCUAAAAUUUCAAUUUUUUAGUUGCUUAAAUAAUUAAUACCAUAUUUUAUUAUAUUUUUUAAUGACUGUCAGUAUUAUAAAAUAACAAUGUUUUGCUAAACUUAAUACCUAAUAAAAUUCACUUAUUAGAAACAUUGUUGAAUUUACAUAAUAAUAAAGUUGAACCAUUGACGUCAGUGAAGCCUAGGAUCGAAUGAAGUUAAUUAAUAUAAAACAAAGGAAGUCUGUACUGGUUCAUAGUAACUACUGAAAUUACAGUUUUAAUUAAACAAAUAUUAAUUUAGUUGAAAUAUUCAAUGGAGGCUUGUUUAAGAGAAUAUAGUGACUUAUAUUUAAUAUGUAUUACCAUAUA